AAGAACGUAGCGAAAUGCGAUACUUGGUGUGAAUUGCAGAAUCCCGCGAACCAUCGAGUCUUUGAACGCAAGUUGCGCCCGAGGCCCCCCGGCCGAGGGCACGCCUGCCUGGGCGUCACGCCUCGCGUCGCUCCGCGCGCCCCCCCGCCCCGGGCCGGCGCGCGGACGCGGACACUGGCCCU
This 182-nucleotide ribosomal RNA is filed under the name Vellozia hemisphaerica. Its description in RNAcentral is "5.8S ribosomal RNA". The stretch from base 1 to 118 matches the Rfam family "5.8S ribosomal RNA", at positions 39 to 154 of the family's 154-position model. Rfam says of the family: 5.8S ribosomal RNA (5.8S rRNA) is a component of the large subunit of the eukaryotic ribosome. The record is from RNAcentral. Lineage: Eukaryota; Viridiplantae; Streptophyta; Magnoliopsida; Pandanales; Velloziaceae.